This 148-nucleotide non-coding RNA is filed under the name Homo sapiens (human). The record is from Rfam by way of RNAcentral. Lineage: Eukaryota; Metazoa; Chordata; Mammalia; Primates; Hominidae.
GCUGGGUAUGGUGGCGUGCGCUUGUAAUCCCAGCUACUAGGGAGGCUGAGACAGGAGAAUCGCUUGAACCCAGGAGGCGGAGGUUGCAGUGAGCUGAGACCACUCCACUGCACUUCAGCCUGGGUGACAGAGCGAGAUUCUGUCUCAA